CGCCCGGGGACCAAGCGGCAGCACGCCAUCCACAUCAUCGACUUCGGGCUGGCCAAGGAGUACAUCGACCCCGAGACCAAGAAGCACAUCCCGUACCGCGAGCACAAGAGCCUGACGGGCACGGCGCGCUACAUGAGCAUCAACACGCACCUGGGCAAGGGUGAGCUGCGCGCGCGCGGCGGGGGGCGGGCGCCCGGACCCCGCUGAGGCUGCGCCCCUGUCCCCGCAGAGCAGAGCCGCCGCGACGACCUGGAGGCGCUGGGCCACAUGUUCAUGUACUUCCUGCGCGGCAGCCUCCCCUGGCAGGGGCUCAAGGUGGGCGAGGAGACCGGGCAGGCGGGCGGGGACGCAGGGCGGGAGCAAGGCUGACCACAGACCCCCGCAGGCCGACACGCUCAAGGAGCGGUACCAGAAGAUCGGGGACACCAAACGCGCCACGCCCAUCGAGGUGCUCUGCGAGAACUUCCCAGGUAAGGGGUCCCUGCGUCCCCGCCCCCGCCCCGUGCCCCCCACCCCCGCCGAGGCCCCGCUGGCGCUCUCUCUGCAGAGGAGAUGGCCACGUACCUGCGCUAUGUGCGGCGCCUGGACUUCUUCGAGAAGCCCGACUAUGACUACCUGCGGAAGCUCUUCACCGACCUCUUCGACCGCAGUGGCUUCGUGUUCGACUAUGAGUACGACUGGGCCGGGAAGCCCCUGCCGACCCCCAUCGGCACCGUCCACACCGACCUGCCCUCCCAGCCUCAGCUCCGGGACAAAGCCCAGCCGCACAGCAAAAACCAGGUGAAGCCCGGGCGGGACCGACGCCCCAGGGAGGGGCACGGGCGGCCAGCGUGACCCCCUACUGUCCCCACCAGGCGCUGAACUCCACCAACGGGGAGCUGAACGCGGAUGACCCCACGGCCGGCCACUCCAACGCCCCCAUCACAGCGCCUGCAGAGGUGGAGGUGGCCGAUGAAACCAACUGCCCCCGUUAGCGU
Molecule: small RNA, 977 nt
Filed under: Pan troglodytes (chimpanzee)
Lineage: Eukaryota; Metazoa; Chordata; Mammalia; Primates; Hominidae
Description: retained intron
Source: RNAcentral